AUUAUACUCCCUUCAUCCCAAAAUCCUUGUCUUGUAUUUGUCUAAAUACGGAUGUAUCAAGUCAUGUUUUAGUAUUAGAUACAUCCGUAUCUAGACGAAUCUAAGACAAGAAUUUUGAGACGUAGGUAGCAUAUU
Molecule: non-coding RNA, 135 nt
Organism: Triticum urartu
Lineage: Eukaryota; Viridiplantae; Streptophyta; Magnoliopsida; Poales; Poaceae
Source: Rfam